CUGCUGCCUCCCGUAGGAGUCUGGGCCGUGUCUCAGUCCCGAAUGUGGCCGAUCAACCUCUCAGUCCGGCUACCGAUCGUCGCCUUGGUGGGCCGUUGCCCCACCAACUAGCUAAUCGGCCGCGAGCCCAUCUUUCAGCGGAUUGCUCCUUUGGCUGCAUCGGGAUGCCCCAUCGCAGCGUUAUGCGGUAUUAGCAGUCGUUUCCAACUGUUAUCCCCCUNUGAAAGGCAGGUUGCUCACGUU
This 243-nucleotide ribosomal RNA is filed under the name uncultured bacterium. Its description in RNAcentral is "partial 16S ribosomal RNA". The record is from RNAcentral.